UACGAAGGGGGCUAGCGUUGUUCGGAAUCACUGGGCGUAAAGGCGCGUAGGCGGCCGAUUAAGUCGGGGGUGAAAGCCUGUGGCUCAACCACAGAAUUGCCUUCGAUACUGAUUGGCUUGAGACCGGAAGAGGUCAGUGGAACUGCGAGUGUAGAGGUGAAAUUCGUAGAUAUUCGCAAGAACACCAGUGGCGAAGGCGGCUCACUGGCCCGUACUGACGCUGAGGCACGAAAGCGUGGGGAGCAAACAGG
RNAcentral lists this ribosomal RNA (251 nucleotides) under uncultured bacterium. RNAcentral's name for it is "partial 16S ribosomal RNA". It matches the Rfam family "Bacterial small subunit ribosomal RNA", at positions 524 to 776 of the family's 1533-position model. The record is from RNAcentral.